UACGUAGGGAGCAAGCGUUGUCCGGAAUCAUUGGGCGUAAAGCGCGCGUAGGUGGCUUCAUAAGUCCGUUGUGAAAGUCAAAGGCUCAACCUUUGAAAGCCGAUGGAUACUGUGAAGCUAGAGUACGGAAGAGGCGAGUGGAAUUCCUGGUGUAGCGGUGGAAUGCGCAGAUAUCGGGAAGAACACCCGUGGCGAAGGCGGCUCUCUGGGACGGUACUGACGCUGAGACGCGAAAGCGUGGGGAGCGAACAGG
Molecule: ribosomal RNA, 253 nt
Filed under: uncultured bacterium
Lineage: Bacteria
Description: partial 16S ribosomal RNA
Rfam family: Bacterial small subunit ribosomal RNA
Source: RNAcentral